RNAcentral lists this ribosomal RNA (254 nucleotides) under uncultured bacterium. RNAcentral's name for it is "partial 16S ribosomal RNA". It matches the Rfam family "Bacterial small subunit ribosomal RNA", at positions 524 to 776 of the family's 1533-position model. The record is from RNAcentral.
UACGUAGGGUGCGAGCGUUAAUCGGAAUUACUGGGCGUAAAGCGUGCGCAGGCGGUUUGUUAAGACAGGCGUGAAAUCCCCGGGCUCAACCUGGGAACGGGCGCUUGUGACUGGCAGGCUAGAGUACGGCAGAGGGGGGUGGAAUUCCACGUGUAGCAGUGAAAUGCGUAGAGAUGUGGAGGAACACCGAUGGCGAAGGCAGCCCCCUGGGCCGAUACUGACGCUCAUGCACGAAAGCGUGGGGAGCAAACAGG